AGGAUGAACGCUGGCGGCGUGCCUAACACAUGCAAGUCGAACGUCCUGUCUCGCAAGAGGCAGGGAGUGGCGGACGGGUGAGUACCACGUGGGUCAUCUACCGUGAGGUGAGGAAUACCGGCGAGAAAUCGCCGACAAGACCGCAUAGGCUCGAUGCAAGUCGAGCAAAGCUCUUUCGAGAGAGGGAGCGCCACACGAGGAGCCUGCGCCCGAUUAGCUAGCUGGUGGAGUAACGGUUCACCAGGGCGACGAUCGGUAGCUGGUCUGAGAGGACGAUCAGCCACACUGGGAUUGAGAACGGCCCAGACUCCUACGGGGGGCAGCAGUGAGGAAUUUUCGUCAAUGGGGGCAACCCUGAACGAGCAACGCCGCGUGCAGGAAGAAGGUUUUCGGAUCGUAAACUGCUUUUCUCGGGGAAGAGAAUGGACGGUACCCGAGGAAUCAGCCCCGGCUAACUACGCGCCAGCAGCCGCGGU
RNAcentral lists this ribosomal RNA (476 nucleotides) under uncultured bacterium. Its description in RNAcentral is "SSU rRNA". It matches the Rfam family "Bacterial small subunit ribosomal RNA", at positions 26 to 521 of the family's 1533-position model. The record is from RNAcentral.